GCAAGUCGAACGAACUUAGGCCUAGCUUGCUAGGAACGGUUAGUGGCAAACGGGUGAGUAACGCGUGGGAACCUACCUUUUAGUACGGAAUAGUCCUGGGAAACUGGGUUUAAUACCGUAUACGCUCUACGGAGGAAAGAUUUAUUGCUAAAAGAUGGGCCCGCGUUAGAUUAGUUUGUUGGUGGGGUAAUGGCCUACCAAGACUACGAUCUAUAGCUGGUUUGAGAGGAUGAUC
This 235-nucleotide ribosomal RNA is filed under the name uncultured bacterium. Its description in RNAcentral is "partial 16S ribosomal RNA". It matches the Rfam family "Bacterial small subunit ribosomal RNA", at positions 57 to 305 of the family's 1533-position model. The record is from RNAcentral.